UUUUUGGAGAGUUUGAUCCUGGCUCAGGACGAACGCUGGCGGCGUGCUUAACACAUGCAAGUCGAACGGAAAGGCCCCCACUUUUUUGGUGG
Molecule: non-coding RNA, 92 nt
Filed under: Corynebacterium matruchotii ATCC 14266
Lineage: Bacteria; Bacillati; Actinomycetota; Actinomycetes; Mycobacteriales; Corynebacteriaceae
Description: Bacterial small subunit ribosomal RNA
Rfam family: Bacterial small subunit ribosomal RNA
Source: Rfam by way of RNAcentral